GACGAACGCUGGCGGCGUGCUUAACACAUGCAAGUCGAGCGGUAAGGCCCUUUCGGGGGUACACGAGCGGCGAACGGGUGAGUAACACGUGGGUGACCUGCCCUCAGCUCUGGGAUAAGCCUGGGAAACUGGGUCUAAUACUGGAUAUGACUCCACGGUGCAUGUCGUGGGGUGAAAGCCUUGUGCGGCUGAGGAUGGGCCCGCGGCCUAUCAGCUUGUUGGUGGGNGAUGGCCUACCAAGGCGACGACGGGUAGCCGGCC
Molecule: ribosomal RNA, 261 nt
Filed under: uncultured bacterium
Lineage: Bacteria
Description: partial 16S ribosomal RNA
Rfam family: Bacterial small subunit ribosomal RNA
Source: RNAcentral